GACGAACGCUGGCGGCGUGCCUAAUACAUGCAAGUCGAGCGGAACUGGGGGAGCUUGCUCCUUCCAGUUUAGCGGCGGACGGGUGAGUAACACGUGGGCAACCUGCCCUGCAGAUCGGGAUAACUCCGGGAAACCGGUGCUAAUACCGAAUAGUUUGGCGCCUCUCCUGAGGCGCUACGGAAAGACGGUUUCGGCUGUCACUGCAGGAUGGGCCCGCGGCGCAUUAGCUAGUUGGUGGGGUAACGGCCCACCAAGGCGACGAUGCGUAGCCGACCUGAGAGGGUGACCGGCCACACUGGGACUGAGACACGGCCCAGACUCCUACGGGAGGCAGCAGUAGGGAAUCUUCCGCAAUGGACGCAAGUCUGACGGAGCAACGCCGCGUGAGUGACGAAGGUUUUCGGAUCGUAAAACUCUGUUGUGAGGGAAGAACACGUACCAACUAACUAUUGGUACCUUGACGGUACCUCACCAGAAAGCCACGGCUAACUACGUGCCAGCCGCCGCGGUAA
Molecule: ribosomal RNA, 512 nt
Filed under: uncultured bacterium
Lineage: Bacteria
Description: partial 16S ribosomal RNA
Rfam family: Bacterial small subunit ribosomal RNA
Source: RNAcentral